Molecule: ribosomal RNA, 558 nt
Filed under: Triticum aestivum (bread wheat)
Lineage: Eukaryota; Viridiplantae; Streptophyta; Magnoliopsida; Poales; Poaceae
Description: partial small subunit ribosomal RNA
Source: RNAcentral
AUGAGUUGUUUCCACCUCACAAAGAAAACGUGCCAGAAUCUGAAUUCUAUCUCGUCGAAAUUCUGGUGGGGGGCAAAGGAUGGUGAGAAAAAAGUACAUUGGAUUUCAUAACAAAAGAUGUGCACCUCUAAACGGGAUGGAAGGAUGGGUUUUCGUGACCCGAUAGCGUUUAAUCAGGCUCUACUUGCAAAGCAAGCAUGGCGUGUCCUACAAUGCCCGGAGUCGUUGGUAGCAAGAGUGCUCAAGGCGCGCCACUUCAAAGAGAAAUCCAUAUUGAGCGCAACGUGUCCUGCUACGACUUCAUACACUUAUAUAAGCAUUUUGCAUGGCCGGGAUCUACUUCGAGAAGGCCUGGUUUGGAGAAUUGGAGACGGCUCCAAUGUGAGUAUACAUCACAGUAACUGGAUCCCGAGGAGCGGGUCCAUGAAGCCGUUGGGACAGAUAUAUAUCCCUAGCGUGACUAAGGUGGCCGACCUCCUUUUACCGGAUGGAAGAAGCUGGAAUCACGACCGAGUCAGGGAGAUGUUCACCCCGGACGAUGCAACUGACAUUUUGUAG